This 524-nucleotide long non-coding RNA is filed under the name Notechis scutatus (mainland tiger snake). RNAcentral describes it as "lncRNA (ENSNSUG00000011572.1)". Lineage: Eukaryota; Metazoa; Chordata; Lepidosauria; Squamata; Elapidae. The record is from RNAcentral.
CAUGACUCAUCCUGGGUUUUUUAUUCUUUUUUUUUUUUUUGCCCCUUUUUAAGGAUUUGAAAGAAAAGAAGGAAGUUGUGGAAGAAACAGAAAAUGGCAGGGAUGCUCCCGCCAACGGCAAUGCCAACGAGGAAAAUGGCGAGCAGGAGGCGGACAACGAGGUAGAUGACGAAGAGGAAGAGGUUGGCGACGAAGAGGAGGAUGAGGAAGAAGGUGACGGCGAAGAAGAGGACGGCGAUGAAGAUGACGAGACCGAAGGUCCGACCGGAAAACGGGCAGCUGAGGACGAUGAGGUGAGGGCAUCUGGUCUUCCGGCCUCCAUCUCUUACUGCUCAUGGUUUUUAAUAGCUUAUCAAAAUAUAAAAUGCAGAAUUGCAAAGAAAAUAUACAGAAAUAUGAAAUAGAGAAAUGCAAAGAACAUAUACAGAAAUAUAAAAUGCAGAAAUGCAAAGAAAAUAUAUAGAAAUAUAAAAUGCAGAAAUGCAAAGAACAAAUAAAAUGCAGAAAUGCAAGGAAAAUAUACA